CACACUGGGACUGAGACACGGCCCAGACUCCUACGGGAGGCAGCAGUGGGGAAUAUUGCACAAUGGGCGCAAGCCUGAUGCAGCGACGCCGCGUGAGGGAUGACGGCCUUCGGGUUGUAAACCUCUUUCAGUAGGGAAGAAGCGUAAGUGACGGUACCUGCAGAAGAAGCGCCGGCUAACUACGUGCCAGCAGCCGCGGUAAUACGUAGGGCGCAAGCGUUAUCCGGAAUUAUUGGGCGUAAAGAGCUCGUAGGCGGUUUGUCGCGUCUGCUGUGAAAGACCGGGGCUCAACUCCGGUUCUGCAGUGGGUACGGGCAGACUAGAGUGCAGUAGGGGAGACUGGAAUUCCUGGUGUAGCGGUGAAAUGCGCAGAUAUCAGGAGGAACACCGAUGGCGAAGGCAGGUCUCUGGGCUGUAACUGACGCUGAGGAGCGAAAGCAUGGGGAGCGAACAGGAUUAGAUACCCUGGUAGUCCAUGCCGUAAACGUUGGGCACUAGGUGUGGGGGACAUUCCACGUUUUCCGCGCGCGUAGCUAAAGCAUUAAGUGCCCC
Molecule: ribosomal RNA, 552 nt
Filed under: Arthrobacter sp. S4
Lineage: Bacteria; Bacillati; Actinomycetota; Actinomycetes; Micrococcales; Micrococcaceae
Description: bacterial SSU rRNA
Rfam family: Bacterial small subunit ribosomal RNA
Source: RNAcentral